GACGAACCGUGCGAACGUUGUUCGGAAUCACUGGGCUUAAAGGGCGCGUAGGCGGGUGAUCAAGUCCGGGGUGAAAUCCUCCAGCUCAACUGGAGAAUGGCCUUGGAUACUGGUCGCCUUGAGUGAGGUAGGGGCAUGUGGAACUUCCGGUGGAGCGGUGAAAUGCGUAGAUAUCGGAAGGAACGCCGGUGGCGAAAGCGACGUGCUGGACCUCUUCUGACGCUGAGGCGCGAAAGCCAGGGGAGCAAACGGG
RNAcentral lists this ribosomal RNA (253 nucleotides) under uncultured bacterium. Its description in RNAcentral is "partial 16S ribosomal RNA". It matches the Rfam family "Bacterial small subunit ribosomal RNA", at positions 524 to 776 of the family's 1533-position model. The record is from RNAcentral.